UGGAGAAAAGUGUCUGGCUAUGUUGC
RNAcentral lists this non-coding RNA (26 nucleotides) under Homo sapiens (human). Lineage: Eukaryota; Metazoa; Chordata; Mammalia; Primates; Hominidae. The record is from RNAcentral.